RNAcentral lists this long non-coding RNA (1065 nucleotides) under Salvia miltiorrhiza (redroot sage). RNAcentral describes it as "long non-coding RNA (SMIL_LNC000194)". Lineage: Eukaryota; Viridiplantae; Streptophyta; Magnoliopsida; Lamiales; Lamiaceae. The record is from RNAcentral.
AGUUGAAUUAAUAAUAAUGAUUAAUGAUUAAGAAAUUGGAAGAGCAAUAAUAUUGAAAGAGAGCGCGUAGGCCAAUGAGACAAUGGGGGGCCCGCAUGCGUUUGUUUUGAGGUGUAUUCGUCGCUCUCGGCAUACAUUUCAUACUUAAACUUGUCCCUCAAUAUCCCUUUAGGGCUAGUUUGAUUUCCUAGUUUAGUCCUUGAUAGAUUAUUAAUCUAGUCUUAUCUUGGUGAUUGGUACUUUUUUAAAAAAACUCUAAAGCCCUACACUAAUACAUGGCCCGUUCUUUUUCUCUUGUAGCUUUUAGGCUAAAUAAUCUCUCCACUCCUAUCCGAUUAUUUAUCCUAGAAUGAAUAGUAGGAACUAUUAAACUAUUGAUUCUCAAUUUUGCCCUCAUUUUUCAAGAUCUGAAAAGUCAUUGUCGAUUCCCCAUUCAUUCUUUUCAAGAUCUGAAUCUCGAAUUGUUUUUCUCGAUACUUCUAGCAUAUUUCUGCACAAUUCUUCUGUUCCAACCGGCGAUUGUUCAACCGAGAUCGGAGCUCUCAGCUAUCGCCUGAGGGGCGGCGCUGCGGCUGAGGAGCGGCAUCCUGCGACGGAAGGGGCGGCGUACAAGGAGUUUCGCCUCCCAGUAGGUGUCACUGUGCAGCCCUAUGUUGAGCGGCUUGUGUUAGUCUACCACAAUUUGGGCAAUCGGUCUUCAUCAUAUUUGUGCACCGGUUUUGGGGCUUUUUGCCUACGAUUAUAUGUUGGUGAGUGAAGGGCCUUGGAGUUUUUAAUGUCAAUUAUUUGUUGAUUUUGAGCUAUAUGUUGGCUAUGAAUGAAAUUCUAUUUCUUGUAGUAGUAGGAGCCCUUCUUAAUGUUGGCAGAUGUAAUACAAAUACUUGGACACCUUUUGUUUCAAUUGUUGUACUGUAGUGUUGAACUUCGAACAGUGGACAAAGAAAAUGUGCUGCUUGUGAAAAUUCUCUGCUAGUAGUGAGAGGAUGAUUUGUAAUUUUUUUAUUUUAUCAAGGUUAUUUUUGUAAAAUUGUAUCUUAGUCAUGAAGUUAAAUAAUGAUACCAAAC